RNAcentral lists this ribosomal RNA (440 nucleotides) under uncultured bacterium. RNAcentral's name for it is "partial 16S ribosomal RNA". It matches the Rfam family "Bacterial small subunit ribosomal RNA", at positions 338 to 795 of the family's 1533-position model. The record is from RNAcentral.
CCUACGGGAGGCAGCAGUGGGGGAUAUUGCACAAUGGGGGAAACCCUGAUGCAGCGACGCCGCGUGUGGGAAGACGGUCUUCUGGAUUGUAAACCACUGUCCCCAGGGACGAAAAUGACGGUACCUGGGGAGGAAGCUCCGGCUAACUACGUGCCAGCAGCCGCGGUAAUACGUAGGGAGCAAGCGUUGUCCGGAAUUACUGGGUGAAAAGGGAGCGUAGGCGGGGAUGCAAGUUGGGUGUCAAAACUACCGGCUCAACCGAUAGUCGCACUCAAAACUGCAACUCUUGAGUGAAGUAGAGGCAGGCGGAAUUCCUAGUGUAGCGGUGAAAUGCGUAGAUAUUAGGAGGAACACCAGUGGCGAAGGCGGCCUGCUGGGCUUUUACUGACGCUGAGGCUCGAAAGUGUGGGGAGCAAACAGGAUUAGAUACCCUGGUAGUC